Molecule: ribosomal RNA, 251 nt
Filed under: uncultured bacterium
Lineage: Bacteria
Description: partial 16S ribosomal RNA
Rfam family: Bacterial small subunit ribosomal RNA
Source: RNAcentral
ACGUAGGGGGCAAGCGUUAUCCGGAUUUACUGGGUGUAAAGGGAGCGUAGACGGCAUGACAAGUCUGAAGUGAAAGCCCGGGGCUCAACCCCGGGACUGCUUUGGAAACUGCCAGGCUAGAGUGCAGGAGAGGUAAGUGGAAUUCCUAGUGUAGCGGUGAAAUGCGUAGAUAUUAGGAGGAACACCAGUGGCGAAGGCGGCUUACUGGACUGUAACUGACGUUGAGGCUCGAAAGCGUGGGGAGCAAACAG